Molecule: long non-coding RNA, 3532 nt
Filed under: Homo sapiens (human)
Lineage: Eukaryota; Metazoa; Chordata; Mammalia; Primates; Hominidae
Description: HSALNT0241028
Source: RNAcentral
GCUCUGUCUUCCAGAAAGGCUGUACCAGCAUGGAAUGACUAAUUCCUGCCCUUCUACCAUGCUGGCUUGUUCAGCGGACCAAAUGAAAAACUGAGAAAACUGUUGUGUCUUCCCGUAGGAUGUUGGAGUGAAUCUACCAUGCAUGACUCAUGUUUCCAUCCCUAUCAUCCUGGGUAGGGAAGCACCAAGCUGAGGACUCUGGAUCCUUUCAGGCUCUAAUGACAAUGCACAUCCAGCAUUUGUGGAGUAUGUAUACAGUUGUCUGGGCCAACUACUGUGGGAAGAGGAAAAGAAGUCACAUUGCUACUGGUCAUCAAGAGCUCACAAAAUAGAUGUAGACAUCAUUUGGGGCUAUCUACUUAUCCUAGUGAUUCUCAACUGAGGUUGAUACUUAAAUUUUUUUUUUUCAUUUUCUUUUUUUUUUAAGUUUCAAGAGGUUGAUACUUUUGAUUGUCACAAUGAUUGGCUUUUGAUUGUCACAAUGAUUGGGAGCGUUAUUACCACUCACAUAUAGUAAAUGAAGGAUGGGAUAGUCCUACACAAAAAAUUAUCUAGCUCCAAAUGUCCUCAGUGUCUCUGAUGAGAAACACUGAUCUAGUCCAUAGUCAGGGCUGCCAGGUAUGGGUGUGCAGGUUGCCCACUGUACAACUCUUAAGGGAACCAUUCACCUGGUGGCUAAGUGUGUCAAUUCUGAAACCAUACUGCCUGAGUUCCAGUGCCAACUGGAACUGCCCCCCACCCCCUACUUCUUUUUUUUUUUUUGAGACCGAGUCUUUCUCCACCACCCAGGCUGCAGUCCAGUGGCACAGUCACAGCUCACUGCAGACUCUACCUCCCGGGCUCAAGUGAUUCUCCUACCUCAGCCUCUUGAAUAGCUGGGACCACAGGCACCACCACCACACCUGGUUACUUUUUAAAUUUUUUGUAGAGAUAAGGUCUCCCUAUGUUGCCCAGGCUGGACUCAAAACUCUGAGGCUCAGGUGAUCCUCCUGCCUCGGCCUCCCAAAGUGCUGGGAUUACAGGUGUGAGCCACCGGACCUGGCCUGGAAGCUCUUGAACAUAUUGCUUAUCUUCUGUGGACCUCAGUUUCCUCAUUUAUAAAAUGGGAAGAGCAAUAGUAAUAUAACUCAUACUGAUAACAUAAGAAUAUGUUAUCAAUAAUAUAUGUUCCUGCACAUAGCAGACAUUCAAUUCAUGUUCAAUGAUUAUUAUUCUCUGAGAUCUGACUUCCCCAUUGACUGGGGUGGGGCCCUGGUGUCUACUCCCUGAUAAAGACCACGUAUGCCUGGAUUCCUGCUCUCCCUGAGGCUUAACUUUCCUGGUUCCACCUGUAAUCUCAUUGAGAACUCCCAUUGUUGCCUAAACUUGCUUGAGAUGGUUUUUGUAAUCUACAACCAGAAGUCUUAAUUACUAAGACAAGGUGAAAAGACUCACCUGUAGGAAACACAGUAGAUAAUACAAAAGGGCUUUCAAGUUAGUGUGAGACUGCUUGGCAUAGAAAGACGAUAAAUGCCACAGACAAAACCUAAUCGUAACUGAAAUAAAUAAAUUCGAACAACAAAUUGUUAAGUGAAUGGAAUGCAGCUAGCUAGGAUCUCAUGCUCUGUUCUAAGAAAACAGACAGGUCAAACAAUCAGGACCAGUCCAGACAUGUGUCUGGGAAGUUAAAGGAAAGAGACCCUGUCCCUCAAAACCUUCCUUACUAGUGACUCAUGUCUUCGUUUACCAGGAGGUCUUCUUUGAAAAUAUGAAUGUUUCUGGGAAGGGUAAUCCAGAAACCUACUGAGGCUCACCCUACUAGGAAUGUAUUUACCAUUUUUCUUUUCUUUCAUGUCUGUUCAUUGAGAACACAGAGAAUGUAUUUAUUCAGUGACUUUCUCUCUCCUCCACUUCCCAACCCCAGCUACAAAUGGGGACAGCAAGAGAGAGAAAACCUGGGGAGAACGGAAGAAACCAUGCUUUGUAGAAUGGAUCCUGCUUCAGAAUUGCUGAUCUCAUCAACCACAUGUUUAUAGAGAGAGCAGUGGCCCUUAAGGAACUGGAGAGAAUGCUCUGAUUUACUUCUGUCCGGCAUGGUGAACAGCAGGAUUGGCUGUAGCUGUUCUCUUUGCCAAGGACAGAUCUGAUCUGAUUGCCUUGAGGUGAAAGUGAGGAAGUGAGGAGCGUCUCUGCCCGGCCACCCAUCGUCUGAGAUGUGGGGAGCGCCUCUGCCCCGCCGCCCCGUCUGGGAUGUGAGGAGCGCUUCGGCCCGGCCGCGACCCCGUCUGGGAGGUGAGGAGCGUCUCUGCCCGGCCGCCCCGUCUGAGAAGUGAGGAGACCCUCCACCUGGCAACUGCCCCAUCUGAGAACGGCAUUCCAGAUUUUUCUGCAGUCCAGAAUAGAGCACCACCACCAUAGCAUUUCAAGCUCAUUCUAAGUUCAUCUUAUCAAUGACAAGAGGAGACACGUUGUUCAUUCAUGUAUGAGGUAGUACUUUCCAAUUGAAGACAUUGCUUUGAAAGAGACUGCCAAAUUGGUUUCAUUGAGAAGGAAUGAAAGAAGCUAAAAGGCUUUCACCUGAGAUUUGACAAUAGCCAGAAAACCUCUGUUAAUAAUGAAUGUUUCCCUAUCUGCAAAGUGAAGAUAUGUUUCAAUGCUUCAACGCAUAGGAAGUCUGUAGAACAGUGCAAAGAAUAUACAGGCAUACCUUGAAGAUAUUACAGUUUUGGUUCCAGACCAUCAUAAAAAGGUGGAUAUUGCAAUAAGGCUGGAGUGCAGUGGCGUGAUCUCGGCUCGCACAACCUCCACCUCCCAGCCGCCUGCCUUGGCCCCCCAAAGUGCCGAGAUUGCAGCCUCUGCCCGGCCGCCACCCCGUCUGGGAAGUGAGGAGCGUCUCUGCCUAGCCGCCCAUCGUCUGGGAUGUGAGGAGCCCCUCUGCCUGGCUGCCCAGUCUGGAAAAUGAGGAGCGUCUCUGCCCGGCCGCCAUCCCAUAUAGGAAGUGAGGAGGGCCUCUUCCCGACAGCCAUCCCAUCUAGGAAGUGAGGAGCGUCUCUGCCCGGCCGCCCAUCGUCUGAGAUGUGGGUAGCACCUCUGCCCCGCCACCCCGUCCGGGAUGUGAGGAGCGCCUCUACCCGGCCGCGACCCUGUCUGGGAGGUGAGGAGCGUCUCUGCCCGGCCGCCCCGUCUGAGAAGUGAGGAGACCCUCCGCCUGACAACCGCCCCGUCUGAGAAGUGAGGAGCCCCUCCACCCGGCAGCCUCCCCGUCAGAGAAGUGAGGAGCCCCUCCGCCCGGCAGCCACCCCGUCUGGGAAGUGAGGAGCGUCUCCGCCCGGCAGCCACCCCGUCCGGGAGGGAGGUGGGGGGGUCAGCCAGCCGCCCCGUCCAGGAGGGAGGUGGGCGGGUCAGCCCCCUGCCCGGCCGGCCGACCCGUCCAGGAGGGAAGUGGGGGGGUCAGCCCCCCGCCCGGCCAGCCGCCCCGUCCGGGAGGUGAGGGGCGCCUCUGCCCGGCCGCCCCUACUGGGAAGUGAGGAGCUCCUCUGCCCGGCCAGCCGCC